RNAcentral lists this ribosomal RNA (95 nucleotides) under Mesocricetus auratus (golden hamster). The record is from RNAcentral. Lineage: Eukaryota; Metazoa; Chordata; Mammalia; Rodentia; Cricetidae.
GGCCAUACCACCUUGAAUGCACCCGAUCUCGUCUGAUCUCGGAAGAAAUAAGACAAAUGAUAAGAGAAUGGGAAACCUCACAUUAUCCUCUAGCC